GUUUGAAACCCAUUGAUUUCCUGUCACCAGAGUUGGGCAUUAAGAAGACCUAUUGUGUUUGAAGUUGUUCCAUGGAGGUUGUGUUUGUAGGCAGACAUUCACAUGUGCUCUAGCUGAACCUCAUGGUGUAGAGAAUCUCAAGUACUCCCUUCUCAGGAGCUUUCCUUCUGGGCCCACCUAAUACUUUCAUCUGGCCAUGAAGUUCAAGGGCAGGGCUCUCCAUGACCUCCUGCAGUAAUCUGUCCUACUAUUUCUGCUCCAUGUCUCUUCACAGUGAGUGCAUUCUGUUGCCUAGUUCAAACCUCCUUAGCUACACCACAGCAUAUUUUCUCUUCUUAUAGACUAGAGCAGCGAUGGUGAACCUUUUAGAGCUUUCAGUGAUACAACAGCACGCAUGCCGUAGAUUUGCCACCACUGGACUAUAGAGACCCUGACUGAGCCCCGGGUAGCUUGCUACUGCUCAUGCAAAUUUCAUUUACAGAUACAGAGGCAACACCUAAGCUUUAUUUCCCCUUAACCUGGAGACUGCCUUUUAUAUUAAUGAGGGAGCCACAGGAAGUGAGGUGGGUCCCGCUUUGCCAACAAACCCUUUAGACCCAUAAAACUUCUCAGGUAUGGUAGCUGAGUCUUGGAUUUGCAGCCUGAAGUUCAGAGAGGUGGCCUGAGCAGCACUGGAAAGCUGGGUUGGGAGCACUAAUUCCAGGCCAGAGCCAGCUCACUGUCCUCUUACUGAUGUAUGAAAUCCAGGCCACUACUCUCCAGCCAGGAGCCACAGGAAACAAUCCUGCCCUGUUAUUCAUGCCCUAGCCAAGCCUGUAGGGUGUAGGUCACUGCCGGAGAGAGGCCAGGAGCCAGCAGGUGAAUGGUGGCCCCGGUGGAGGCUUACCUCACCCAGCUGGCAUCAGGCUGACUCAGAGGACAGGGUCUCGAAUCACGGCUGCCUCCCAUGAUCCCUUUGGCAGGUUUCCCUCCAAACACAGGCUAGGCCAAGCUCUAUAGCACUUACAUAACAGAACCUACUUGUGCCUGGUGUGAAGGUGAUGGCAAAAUCCAAAAAUAAAUACUAUUGACCAAUCAUUAGAAAUGAAAUGUAAUCGAGGAGUGGUAGAAAAUGGGCAGCUCUGAUGGAUACCAGAGAGGGGCAGAGACCUGAGGCCUGUUCUUCCCUUACCCAUCAUCUCGCCUAUGGAAGUUCACUCCCGUGUCUUUGUGUAAGUAACAAUAAUACCACCAUCAGAUGAACUAUUGCCCUAUAUGUUUUUCAAAUUAUAUUCCCACGGAAAUCUGUGCUCAGGAUCAUCUGAGAGCACAGAAUAGGGUUGGGUGGGGACUAUCAUUACCAUUUCUCAUACUAGAAGGCUGAGACAGUUUAUGUAAGAAGUAGAGCUUGUUCUGAAACAAGGUGUUUGGAUCUCAAGUCCAGAAUGAUUCUCCUCUGUAGCAGUUCUCUUCCUGUUCCCCUCUGUCUUGCAAUUCAUGCUUCUUCAAGCUGCUUAGGUAAACCAAGCCAUGACAUGGCUUUGUUAGGGAUAGGCAACAUGGGUGGUUCGGAAGGAAAUACUUGGGAGUGGGUUGUAUGGUGGCUUUUAAUAGAAAUUUAGCAAGAAAAAUUAUAGAUGCUCAAUUCAAUUUGGAUUUCGGGAAAAGAAUGAGCACAAUUUUAGUAUGAGCAUGUCUCAAAUAUUGUGCAAGACAUAGAUUAUACCAGAAAUCUGAAAUUCAAAUUGAACUGGGUGUUCUGUAUUUUGUCUGGCAAUUAACGGUCCCUAAAUUAUACCAUGUGAACAUUAUUUUCAUUACUACUAAGAUUGUCUCUAUAUUAGGCUAGAAUUUGCUAGCCAAGGAGUAUGUCUUAGAAAUGAAGGUUGAGAGCUGAUUUUCAGGGUGGAUGUGAAGUUAAUUCUGUUUAAAAAGGAAGCAGGGAAAAAAAGGAAGUAGGUGGGACUGUGUGAACCCUAGGACCCUUCCACUUGAUGUAACCACUGGAUUUCCACCACCCUCUUUGAUUGUCUUGCAGUUCUUGGAUGCUCCGUUCUAUUUUUGUUUAAUUUUUUUAUUAUUAUUUUCUCAGCCUUUUUGCCUUUGUGUUUCCGUCUUUUUAAUUCCAAUCGACCCCUCUUCAAGUUCACCAACUUUUUCCUUGGCUGUGUUGAGUCUACAGAUGAGUCAGUUAUUCAUUUCCAGCAUCAAGAACCAGUUCCCAGAAAUGGACUGCGGUUGCAGCUGGGAGGGACUGGUCACAGAAAGGCCUUCCCAUGGUGGAGGAUGCGACAACUUCAGAGAGAUGAUUAAGAGAAUCUGAUCUCUAAAUUCAGCUCAGGCAGGGCCUUGUGGGAAAGGAGGCAAGGUGCUAAGUGGGUCAGGUUCUUUGAGCUCAUGAAUUUCCUUCACUGUGGCUCAGAAGUGAAGGGAAAGGUUUUCCUGCUGUUAUUCCUAAGGUACGACAGCAGAUCCCACCUGGAAACUGGGCAGAGCCUUGAGCCUGGUGAACAAUAAAUGAACAUAAAAUAUGAAGUGAUAGUCGAGGUUAGAACACUCACACCCAUAGGACAGGGGGAACGACUUGAUUUAUGAUUGAGCGCCUAAGCACAUAGCUCUGUAAUGAAUGCUAGUUCAGGAAGUUUUGCAAAGUAAGAUUCUGGAGGUAGGUCUUGGAGGUAAGCAUCCACAUUCUAAAGAUCAGAAACAUCUGGUCUUCACUGAGUGCCUACCAGAACUAAGGUCUGCCGGUAUUGCAGUAACUCUGGUGACUAUAAUGUUAAACAGAACCCAAACUCUGCUGUUGUGGAGCUUUUAGUCAAGAAAUGCCUAGGUGUUUUUCUUUAGACCUAUGUACUAAUGACUUUUUUUCCUCUUGUCAUUCAGGUUUCUGCUUCAAUAUCUGCUACUGCAACAGGCCUUUCCUAAAAUUUAGUUCCCUCUCCAUCAUCUCACACAAUCCUAUUGUCAUCACUGAGAUCUGAACUGUUGAGGAUUUCACUCCCCUGCUGUUUUAAUGACAGGCUUGACAUUCAUUUUGCUUUGCUGCCUAUGAUGAGCGUAAAAGGUACGCUUUCCGCCUCUGCUCUCUACACAAAUAGCCGAUGUGAUUUUACAACUAAGAUGCUACACCAUCUCUGGGAGUACUGUGGACUCAGGGAGGCCCUGAGAAACUCAGAAUUCAUGACCAGUGGAACUCAAGACAUCUUGAAUGAGAAUAAUAUGAAUCACGGAAAGCUCCAUGCACUGUAGGUUCGAAUGUCACAUGAAGGUUAUCUGGAGGGCCAGAAACAAUUUGUGUGUUUUGGCUGGUUGUAAAGAAAACUCAAAUUUGGUAAAAUGUUGUAAUAGCCUCAGUGUUUAAAAAUAUAGGCUUUAUACUUUAACUCUUUUAAGUAGAAUUGGUAUUGGAAUAUAUGGCAUUAUAAAAUUAGUAUUGUUAUUUGCAAAAAUGUAGUAUUUUGAGAUGUGCAAAGAUUCAAAACAAAAAAAAUAUGAUACUUCAAAUAAAAGGUAAGUGAAUGAAU
Molecule: long non-coding RNA, 3506 nt
Filed under: Heterocephalus glaber (naked mole-rat)
Lineage: Eukaryota; Metazoa; Chordata; Mammalia; Rodentia; Bathyergidae
Description: lncRNA (ENSHGLG00000049234.1)
Source: RNAcentral